Molecule: ribosomal RNA, 812 nt
Filed under: Hemimysis speluncola
Lineage: Eukaryota; Metazoa; Arthropoda; Malacostraca; Mysida; Mysidae
Description: SSU rRNA
Rfam family: Eukaryotic small subunit ribosomal RNA
Source: RNAcentral
UAUAUUAAAGUUGUUGCGGUUAAAAAGCUCGUAGUUGGAUCUCAGUUCCGGACCGACGGUGCGCCCUCGGCGAUUUACUGUCGGUCCGAACAGCUAGUCGGCUCGCUCGGGGUGCUCUUCACCGGGUGUCCCGCGUGGCCGGCAUGUUUACUUUGAAAAAAUUAGAGUGCUCAAAGCAGGCUAAUGCCUGAAUAGUUGUGCAUGGAAUAAUGGAAUAGGACCUCGGUUCUAUUUUGUUGGUUUUCGGAACCCGAGGUAAUGAUUAAUAGAGACGGACGGGGGCAUUCGUAUUGCGACGCUAGAGGUGAAAUUCUUGGACCGUCGCAAGACGUACUACUGCGAAAGCAUUUGCCAAGAACGUUCUCAUUAAUCAAGAACGAAAGUUAGAGGUUCGAAGGCGAUCAGAUACCGCCCUAGUUCUAACCAUAAACGAUGCUGACUAGCGAUCCGUCUGUGUUAAUCCCAUGACUAGACGGGCAGCUUCCGGGAAACCAAAGUCUUUGAGUUCCGGGGGAAGUAUGGUUGCAAAGCUGAAACUUAAAGGAAUUGACGGAAGGGCACCACCAGGAGUGGAGCCUGCGGCUUAAUUUGACUCAACACGGGGAACCUCACCAGGCCCGGACACCGGAAGGAUUGACAGAUUGAGAGCUCUUUCUUGAUUCGGUGGGUGGUGGUGCAUGGCCGUUCUUAGUUGGUGGAGCGAUUUGUCUGGUUAAUUCCGAUAACGAACGAGAUUUUAGCCUGCUAACUAGUCGGCGGAUUACAUAUCGUGUCCGCCGCAGCUUCUAGAGGGAUAAGCGGCAUCUAGCCGC